GGGGCGUUAGCUCAUCUGGUAGAGCGCAACAAUGGCAUUGUUGAGGUGAGCGGUUCAAGUCCGCUACGCUCCA
Molecule: transfer RNA, 73 nt
Filed under: Candidatus Amphrikana amoebophyrae
Lineage: Bacteria; Pseudomonadati; Chlamydiota; Chlamydiia; Parachlamydiales; Simkaniaceae
Description: tRNA-Ala
Rfam family: tRNA
About the family: Transfer RNA (tRNA) molecules are approximately 80 nucleotides in length. Their secondary structure includes four short double-helical elements and three loops (D, anti-codon, and T loops).
Source: RNAcentral